Non-coding RNA from Pelobates cultripes (western spadefoot toad), 737 nucleotides. NCBI's taxonomy places the organism in Eukaryota, Metazoa, Chordata, Amphibia, Anura, Pelobatidae. The record is from the annotation of a GenBank genome assembly.
CGAGUACGCACCAUUAUUGAGUGUGUUAGAGCGGUGUUCCCUAACCAACAGUCCAGGAUUUAUGUAUUCCCCUGUUUUUAUUCCAAUGAAGAUACUUACAAAACCUGAACUGUUGGUGGUCCAUGAGGACUGGGUUGGGCAACACUAUGUUAGAGAAUCCAUAUGGAGCAGGAUUUUAGUUGCGUUGCGAAGUGGCAGGUUUUGGGUGAUUGAUUGAACCGAAUGGAUGUGGAGAGUGAAUGAGUUCAGAGGCAGCUCUAAACCUCUAAAAGGACAUUGACAAAGGAGAAUGCAACUCUUCUUUUUAGGAGAUUGAAGCUCAGGAAGCAUGUAACAGAGCUAUUAACAGACAAUCUAAUCUGGAACUGCAGACGGACAGCAGACAACUAUGCUUGGGAUUGCUCAAAUUAUGUAUUCGUUUUCAUUGUUGACCAGCAUAACCAUAAAUCUUAUGAAUUGGCCCAAAUUUGCUGAUGUGAUCUGGAAAACCUCUCUGGUCCUGUCCAUUAUGCCAUUCUUGCUAUUCUCUUAGUAUGGAAACUUGUGUUUUAAUUCUUAUUUGAGACAAACUACACACAAAUUAGAACAGUUGUCUGUUUCAGUUGGUUAACUUAGUGCAUCUUGAUUUUGAUUUACAUGUGGUAAUUUCAUGUUUUUUUCCUCCCCAUCCUACCUGAAGGAAGCUAAAAUAUUCUGGCAACAGCAGGAUUGAUCAGACAGGGAGGGCUAGCAGCAUG